Molecule: long non-coding RNA, 5500 nt
Organism: Camelus dromedarius (Arabian camel)
Lineage: Eukaryota; Metazoa; Chordata; Mammalia; Artiodactyla; Camelidae
Exons: 3
Source: RefSeq, a predicted model, not a curated record
UCCGCCAUGCCCUCCUCUCCCUGAAGGGCCUGCCCCUCCAGCCUUCCAGGUGCAGCUGGGGGUUUGUACUCGAAGUGCUGCCCCCUGCCUGCAUGAGCUGGGUUUCUCUGGGCUGUUUUUCCUUUCUUGAGUGGUGAUUUUUCUCUUAAUGAAAGAAAUCAAACGCUGAGCUGGCAAAUCUGCCAUUGGUCAAAUGGGGGGAUUGGUGUGGGGUCACAGGGCUGGAAGGCAAACUCAGCACAGGAUGGGCCCCUAACCCUGUGGGGGACUUUGUGGCCCAGGGUUCAAGGUGGGUCUAAGGUACAGGGCUGCCUGUGCAGGCUGCCCACGAGCGGACCCUUAAACCACACCCCAGGGUGCACAGCAGAGUGGACCCAGGGCCACAAGUUUACCAAAAGGGUCCUGCAGGCCCAGGGACAGUCUGAAGGCAUAGACUCUAAAAUGGCCGAAAAGCGCCAGCUGCCACCCACAGACGCCAACUGCUCCCCAAAGUCAGCAGGGAGUCUGUGCCACUGGCCUGGUCCCGCAGCCAUGUACCUGUUUUCACAGCACACUCUGGGACUGGGGGCAAAGUCCCCUCAUGACACACAGGCAGGGCUGGGGCCCAUGCCUCACUGGACCUGACCUCUUUAGAGAGAUUCAGACACAACUUUACAAAGACUUGAGUCAUGACUGCAGGACACAGGUGACUUCUGUUGUCACCUUGCUGUGACAGGCCCUAAGAAGCCAGCUCUGGGAAAGCCAGGGAGUGGGCCCAGGCCACUGCCUGGGGGAGGCCACCUCCGGCACCAGCGCCCACACCAGUGUCAGCCCUAAAACACAGCCUCUCAAGGGCCCUUUAUUUUGUGGGGGCCCAGAACAGCUGAGUGGGAGGAAAUUGCAGUUCAGAAUUGAUCUGGAGAAGAAAGGGUGAAGGUCAUCACAUUUCCCCCAGGGCUCUCCUUUCACCGGCCUCCCAAGCUUGGGGAUCAUUUCCUCCCCAAAUGUGUCUGGCUGCCUGGGAAAGCCCGGCCUGCCUGCCUCAGAGCACGAGUGCUGGGGCUCUCUGUCUGGCUUCUGCUCCAGCUUGCAAUCCUCUGAUAUCUCUGUUAACCUUCCCCUCAGAUCCAUUCUCUGGAGCCCUCCCCUCCCCUCUUCCCCUGCCCACCCCGCCCCUGGUCUAGCUCCCAGGGCCACACGUCCCCAGGGCCUGGGCUUGCAGCUGGUCCCCGUUGAUGACGGAGGCCCUGCGCUUGACCCGGUGUUACACCCCUCAACCCCACAUGAAGAGCUCAACGCCGGGAGCAGGGCAGAGCAAGACACAGGCUGGGGCAGUGGGGGAGGAAGCACAUCUAGUCUAGGGUUAGAGAAAAAUCUCCCAAGGAUAGUGAAAUGUUUAAGCUGACAGCCGAAGGAUCAGUGUCCCAGGAAGAAGGAAUAGUAUACAAAACCCAGAGGCAACAGAAAUAGAAUUAGAGGAAUUGAAAGAAAUUGAACAUGUCUCUCAAGGGAAGCAUCAGAGAUGGAACAAGAAAGACCAGCUGCGUGCUGAUGAGGGGGGGUCUGGGGACCAGGUUUAGAAUUGUGACUUUACCACAAAGGAAAGGGGUCACUAAAGGGUUUUAAGAAGGUGGGUGGGAGUAAUGUGACUGAUUCUUCAUUUUAGGAAGAGCACUAUUGCUUACAUGUAAAGAAUGAGUUGGACGCAAGAAGUCCAGGUGAGAGAGAAGUCAUCUCUGGAGUAGGGUGGGUCUACAGUCAUACCACCCUGAACGCGCCCAAUCUCGUCUGCAGUGGGAUGGGGGUUAGUGAUGGUAGGGGUGAUGGGAAAGGACUGAGUUGAAAGAUAUUUAGGAGGUAGAAUCAAUAGGACUUGCUGAUUCAUUUCAUGUAAGCUUGCUAAUGUUAGAGGGAAAAAGAAGCUCCAUAGAACUGGCACGAGUCCUGGGUGAGUGGUGGAUUCACUAAGUGAGGAACACAGGGAGGGGGCAGAUUCUGAGGGGGGAUAAUGAGUUCCCCUGUGGAUGUCUGGAAAUUUAGUUAACUAUGAGCCACCCACAUGGUGAUAUUGCCCACAAAGUAGUUUGAGAUAUAGGUAGGUAGGUGGGUAGAUAGAUAGAUGUGUUAUAAUUCAGGAAAAGGACUUGGAAUUCAAAUAAGAGACUGUUUAGAUAAGGAUGAGGAACCCUGCUCAAUAACUUUACCUGAAGUCUUCAGGAGUUCAUCACACUCACCAGCACAGCUUCAUAAAAGGCCAGGUAAGGAGGAGACAGGACCAAGAAGAGGGCAGAAAAAUUUAUUGCUGAAAAUGGAAACUUGAAUAGGAAACUAACAAAUACCUCCAGGUCUAUAAUGAAAUAUCACAUGGAGAAUGGUGUCCAAUUUUUAUUCAUCUCCAUUAGGACAAAAGAACAAGCUAUCUACAACAGGAGAGAUUUCUAAUAAAAGGCUUCUUUAAUAAAGUAGUUAAAAUCUGGAAUGAGUUUCUUAUGAUUGUGGUAGACUUUUCUUGCUUCGAGGAUUUUUAUGUCAUAAUAUUGUUCCUAUCACAGAUAUUUUAAGCUCUUCAGAAGUGCAGGGAUCUUCUCAGUGCCUUUUGCACCAACCUAUUCUUUGCAUGUGACACUCAGCCUUGAUUUUUAAUAUUUAAAAAAAUUAAUUCAUAAGGUCAAAAGCAAUUUUUACUUCUUAGCAAUGGAACUGACCAGUGCCUGCUACACAAAGAACAGUAGUUGGAUACAUUUGUGACCCCAGGACCUUGCACUUGCAGCCCUGUCUGCAAGCUUCUGCAUUGACUAUGAUGCCACAGAACACAGCCAGAAAACGGGACCCACCAGCAAGGUCCACUAAAGUUGAAGAAACAAUGAACUGCAACCUAAGCUUUCAGGUUCUUGAAAAAAGAGCUAUGCUCACUGCACUCGAGAAGCCCAGGCAGCCUCAGGGAGGCAUAUUUUGGAGGCACAUUAAGAAGCCUCAAAGCCAAAGGGAAUCUACCCUCUUCUUUCACUUUCUCAGAGAAGCCACUCAAGGCUCCCCAAGGAGGAGCCCGAGCUAUGAAUCUUGUUCAGAUCUCAGACUCACGGCAAGGAGGGCCACAUAAGAUGUCUUUUAUCCCCGCUGUGUUUAAGGCUUCUCUCCUCUACUCCUUGUUGUAAAUUUUCCAGUGCUCUUGAUUAAGCCAGGAACUCUUCUUGACCACAAUGUAACCUAUAUGGGUGAUUGCUUUAACCACAAUCUCAACUCUGCCUUGAACCCUUGAUCAAACGCUUCAAAUCUGAGGACGUUCACAUGAUGGCUUAACGCACUGGACCUGCAUACCUUACCCAGAACCCUACUAUCUGAACCCGUCACCUGGCCCCACAAAGAAAGGAGCCAGAACAAUUUGCAAGCCCUUGAUGGAUGAAAUACAAGAAUCCAUGUCAUUACAAUCUAAGAAUUGUUUAAGAACCGGAAGGACUGGGCCAAUGGAAGAUCACCUUAUCUCAGACACAGAAUGUGUUUUUUCCUGAACUUAAUGUCAAAGAGGAUUAUUAAAAUUUAGAAUGAAAUAAAAAACUUACAGAAAAAAAGAUUCACCUGUUCAUUUCAUAGUAUAGUUUGCUAGGUAGUCUAAAAAGUGCUUUUAAAGAAAUAUCAUUAUUAAGAAACAGAUAAUGGUGACUAAAAAUUAAAAAGAAAGAAAACUUUAAAAAGAAAAAUUUAAAGCAUGCAGUACUUUUUUCAUAUAGACAUACUGAUCCGGAAGAUACAAUAAUCAUUUUUUAUAAACACAUGUAUAUGAAAACAUGAAACAUACAUAUGAAAUAGACACAUGAAAAAUAUAUACUAUCUAAAAAAACAUAUAUAACAAAGUACUCCAUAAUCUCACUCUUUAGGAAUAACCUAUUGUGAGCUAGGAAAACAGCAAACAAUAUUCUCUGGAGAAAUUUAGCAUUACCAAAACACUAAGCAUUGUGAUAACCCAAUAUAUAAACAUCUCAUGAGAGACAUAGCAUGUUUCUUCUACUGUAAAGUGUAACACAUAAAGAAGAUUCAAAGCAUGUAAAUGAACAUUUUAAUGAAUACUUUGAAUAUAUACCAUAAAAGUGCCAAGUUCUCCACCUUUCAAUUCAUAUAAUGAAUACCUAAGUAAUGCUCAGGGGAAAUCUAUUAUAUUGUUGCUCUUUGAAUAAUAAAAAUAUCUAGAUAUUAGUCACACUAAAAUCUGACAUACACAACUGAAUCCAUCAUCUAUUCUGUAAAAAUCAGUGGAGAGAAAAUUUAUUUUCUCUUCCCAUAAAAUAACCUUAUUCUACAAUAACAAACUUCCUAAGUGCCUAGGAAUUUUCUAAAUGCAAAUCUGGUAUUAUUUUCACUAACACAGAUUUUUUUUUAACUCAGAAAUACACACCAAACAUGGGACACAAAAAUAAACUAAAAUUUGGUUAUGCAAUUCAAAAUUAAAGCUGAUUGCUAAUAAUUAUUUGUCAAAAAAACAUUUUAGGUAUCAGAACUUUCCACUAAGGAGCGUAAAUUAUUUCUAAUGUGGUGGAAUGCUCUUCUCUAAGGGAUGGUUUAGAAAUGCUCGCCCCUGGAAAUAAAUUGAUGAACUGUAUGUCAGUAACCCCCUUCAGGCUAUGAACCCUUUGUUGAUUACAUUGCAAGUAUUUCCAUCCUGCAUGUAUAUCCCUUUCUGGGAUUUGCUCUUCUGGCUAUUUCAUAAAAAACAGAUGGCAGAUUAUCCUAAUGGAGUUCCUACACUGUGCGAUAAAGCUCCAAAUUUCAGUAUUUUACCAAUAAGCUUUUCCAUCAAAAACCAUAGAAAUAUCCUUAUGAACAUACUUCAACCUUCAAAAUUACUUUACUCUAGUUCUCGCCUAAUUCAAAGCUAAAUAUCACAUUUAUUCUAGAGAUAGAAAAGCUUACACUUUACAUUAUUUCAAAAUACAUUUUAAAAAAAUUGGCAGCAAACCCUGCCUUGUUCCAUCAGAAACAAACUUCAUCCAUAAGGUAUUGGAGGUAGAUCUGAUAUCUUUAGGUUUAUUAUAACGACCAAAACACCCUAUCAAAGGGCUAUUUUCACUGGUUCCAUCUUGAACUUCUAGGUAGUCAUAGGCACAAUUAUCAUGCCUUUCAAUCUGCAACAGUAAAAAUAUGUGAAGAUCUAUCUCAUUAAUAGAUAAAACAAUUUCUAUGGUAAGAACAUUAUGCGUUCUCAGUGCCAUAAUACUGACCUGGCCGGGGAACAAAUGACGUAUACCAAAUGAGAGUGUCUCUGAUGAGGGUGCCUGGUAAUACCUACACUAUCUGUGAAUAAAGGUUGUAUUAAUCUGGUAGACACAGUGGAAAAAAAUCUAUGAAAAAGUGCAUCCACAUGCUUUAGGAUCAACAGAAGCUAACCACCUUUUAAAAUAAAAUAAAAAUACAAGAAAUAAUUCUUUGGAAAACACAAUUCAAGAAAAUUCAGACUUAAAAUUAUCAUUAGAUAUCUGGGCUAGAUAUGCUAUUUCAUCAUAGUUCAGCAACAAAGCCAGAAUUUUAU